Molecule: non-coding RNA, 75 nt
Organism: Gaeumannomyces graminis
Lineage: Eukaryota; Fungi; Ascomycota; Sordariomycetes; Magnaporthales; Magnaporthaceae
Source: Rfam
CUGAGCGGUGUGAGCUGAAAGGUUCACGCACCGUUCUUGUGGGGGGAAAGCCUGUGAGGGCCUACCUAUCCAGAC